UACAGAGGUCUCAAGCGUUGUUCGGAAUCACUGGGCGUAAAGGGUGCGUAGGUGGCGUGGUAAGUCAGAUGUGAAAGCCCGGGGCUCAACCUCGGAAUAGCAUCCGAUACUACCAUGCUAGAGUACUGAAGAGGUGACUAGAAUUCUCGGUGUAGCAGUGAAGUGCGUAGAUAUCGAGAGGAAUACCAACGGCGAAGGCAGGGUCACUGGGCAGUUACUGACACUGAGGCACGAAGGCCAGGGGAGCAAACGGG
Molecule: ribosomal RNA, 254 nt
Filed under: uncultured bacterium
Lineage: Bacteria
Description: partial 16S ribosomal RNA
Rfam family: Bacterial small subunit ribosomal RNA
Source: RNAcentral